GAGGAGGCUUCAAAGGCCCAUGAGGAGGCCACCACAGGGCCAGCCCCAGUGCUCAGGAAACAUUUGGGGCCAGGGCCUUCCCCAGGGCCUGGUUUGAGUGACCACUGCUGCCAAAACAGGCCCAUCCACGACCCUGGGAGCCUUCACCAUCAGACUGCCUCCUCAUUCCUGGGGCCCUGCAGGGCCUUGUCCCAUUCCCCUUCACCUGGCUUGAUCCUGACCCUCAGUGUGAAAGUCAGGGUGGAUGAGGUAGAAGCCAUAGGAAAACAGGACAGUGGAUGCCAGGACAGUAAAGCAGGAUCUUACAGCCACACCCGGCAUACUGUAACCAUGACUCAGUCUUGUGUUCAUCUUAUGCAGCAAAGCUAUCGGCCUAAUUUUGCAAGGGCAGCAUUUUUUAUUAGUGGUUCCAGUGCACCAGAGGAAACAAAAUUAUAAGAGAACAUUUUAAUAUCUCCUUUUCCAAUACAAUAACUUCACUUAUUCCUAAGUAAACUGGAAAUACUCUUGGUAAGUAUAUAGAGUAUAAAUGUAAUAUGUAAUGAUGAUCUUAUGCUUCUUGUUUUAAUACUGUACAUUAGAAUAUGAACAAAACUGAGGGCAAAGGGAAUGCUAACUUUAACUAGGAGAUUGCUUUAGGCUACAGAUAUGUUUGUUUUAAGUGGGCAGAAGACUACAUGAAGCAAGUCUAUUUGAAAAAUCUUUUGUAUACCGUUUUCCUCCUCCAUCACAGGAAUUUUCAGAGAGAGAGAGAUUCCCCAUUCUUUUCUCGUAGAUGAUAUGAGAUUCAUUACAGGUAGGAAGGUUCUUUGGUGGCACCAGACUGCCUCUAAUGUGGUUUUGAGGCUACAGGAUCAAAUAAAAGUCAGUAGUCCAUCUGAUAAAAAGCUGAC
Molecule: long non-coding RNA, 893 nt
Filed under: Anser brachyrhynchus (Pink-footed goose)
Lineage: Eukaryota; Metazoa; Chordata; Aves; Anseriformes; Anatidae
Description: lncRNA (ENSABRG00000008398.1)
Source: RNAcentral